This 279-nucleotide ribosomal RNA is filed under the name uncultured bacterium. RNAcentral's name for it is "partial 16S ribosomal RNA". It matches the Rfam family "Bacterial small subunit ribosomal RNA", at positions 506 to 784 of the family's 1533-position model. The record is from RNAcentral.
UGCCAGCCGCCGCGGUAAUACGGAGGGGGUUAGCGUUGUUCGGAAUUACUGGGCGUAAAGCGCACGUAGGCGGACUAGUCAGUCAGAGGUGAAAUCCCAGGGCUCAACCCUGGAACUGCCUUUGAUACUGCUAGUCUUGAGUUCGAGAGAGGUGAGUGGAAUUCCGAGUGUAGAGGUGAAAUUCGUAGAUAUUCGGAGGAACACCAGUGGCGAAGGCGGCUUACUGGACCGAUAUUGACACUGAGGUGCGAAAGCGUGGGGAGCAAACAGGAUUAGAUA